UACGGAGGAUCCGAGCGUUAUCCGGAUUUAUUGGGUUUAAAGGGUGCGCAGGCGGGAGAUUAAGUCGGCGGUGAAAUUUUGCAGCUCAACUGUAAAAGUGCCUUCGAAACUGGUUUCCUUGAGUGUAGAUGAAGUAGGCGGAAUUUGUGGUGUAGCGGUGAAAUGCAUAGAUAUCACGAGGAACUCCGAUUGCGCAGGCAGCUUACUAAACUACUACUGACGCUCAGGCACGAAGGCGUGGGGAUCAAACAGGAUUAGAUACCCGGGGUAGUCCCU
Molecule: ribosomal RNA, 276 nt
Filed under: uncultured prokaryote
Description: partial 16S ribosomal RNA
Rfam family: Bacterial small subunit ribosomal RNA
Source: RNAcentral